GUGAAGGAACAGGAUUUUUCCAGACAUUUUCCAUCGUUCAAUGAUACAAAAAAAAUCUGUGACACUACGUUUUGAGAUCUGCAGUUUGAUCUCUUCUUCACUUCUUCCUGACUUACGCGAGUCACAACGCUCUGGUAUGAUUUGUUUAUUUUAACCUUGUUUUUAAUUAUGUGUUGGGUUAUUUAUUUACCUGAAGUAGAGAUGAGAUUGCAGGUCUCAAAACAUAGUGUUACUGAUGUUUUGUAUCACUGAACGAUGGCAAAUGUCCGGAAAAAUCCUGUUUCCUUCUUCAAUAACAAAGAAAUUAUCUUAACUAUUUAUAUAAACACUUUAGAAGCCCCCAGAGUUAAGCCAAAAGGAGUUAACAUGGACACUUUUUAAACACGAUUGCAGAAUAAAAACAUGUCUAACCCUUCAUUAAUAAGAUGAAUGAAGAGGGCAAUCUCUUCUCUGGUGAACUUCAACUCUUGCUUUCUGUUCUUAUACUAGAUGAUGUAGCAUACUCGUACACUUCUCUUGUACUUCAUUGGAUACAUUUUUUUGUUCUCUUAGGACAAGAAGCUUAUAAAUUGUACCUAAUCCUAUAAGGAUCCUUGCACUGCUCCCGGAGUGACAGGAUAUUCUGGAUGGGUAAGGUUGGGGUAGGGACCGCCUCCUAUUGAGAUCCAUGAUGACGAAUUUUAGGGCACUAAUCUCAAAGUCAUGUCCGCUCGAAAGAAGAGGGUGCCUGCUCUGAACCAGCCUCUCUAGUUAAAGCAGGCAGGGGGUGGCACACCCUUGUUGGGGCUAGCAAAAGCCUCUGAAGUUGGGUAACAAACCCCACCAACUCCAACAGUCAUCUCCUGCAGUAGAUUAGAUCUAUCGAAUUAUCCUUGCAUACCAGAAUCUCGACAUUUGCGGUUAGUGAUGUGCCGCUCCUGGACAUCCAUAAGGAUGCCCAGAUUUAAGUGACACAUCGGUUUUGCUGUGCCCAGUGGUAGGUUCAACUGGAAGGUAUAAACCAGCCAGAAGUGAUCCCUGCUGGCCAUUGGAUACACAUACAAUAUCAGAAUCAUUAACUAUUUUAGUAAGAGUUAAUUUUUUCAAGUUAGAAUAAUAUCUCACUUCCUCCUUUACUAACUUAACAUAGAGACUCUGCUAUUAACAUUUUUUAGUGUGACAUAAUAUAACAUAACGAUAUUACACUAGGAACGUGAUUACUCAGAAUGCAGAAUUUUUUAUAAGCAUUAAUUUGAUUGUAAUCCAGUUUUUAUUGUCAGACACCCACUUUAAAACAGAAAGUUACUAAACGAAAACUGCAACUGUUUUAUAUGUUACUAAAGCAUGAAAAUCAUACGUUUUGAAGACAAAAUGUCUUUUGCUAUUAUUACAGCAGUGUACAAGCUAUAAGUGACUGCUGAUAGAAGCCAAACUGUAGCAAUGUUGCCAUGCAAGUUGCAUCGGAAUAUGUAACGUUUUAACAAAUAAACAUGUGUUAUCUUAUAAACUCUUCUAUAUAACAUAGUUAGACUUGGUGCUUUGUAUACUUGUAUUAUGCUACUAGCUUCCUUUCUAUCAGGAAUUUAUGGAACUUAUACAACUUCGGAUGAUUUCAUUCCCACUGUACUUCAAACAUCUGAACCAAGUUUUCUUGCCAUUCCAUGCGAGACCUAGUGGACUUAAACUGCAGGCAGCUUUCAAGUGUUCCUGGCUGCACCAUUAUUGAAACUAUGGACACAUAUGCGUUAAAGUGACAAGAGUACUAUCAUGUUUAAGUUCCCAAUCUGUGGCCUAAUUUUAGUGUUAUUUAUAAGUAAUGCACACAUUAAAGACAUACUAUAUAUUUAAAUAACUCACUGAUCCACACAAUUGUGAAGACUACAUUGAGAGAAAACAGUCUGUAUCAAAGACGUUAUUUUUCACAAUAUCUGUUUUGUCAUUAACAAAAUUAAUUAUACUUGCACAUUAAACUGUAGUGUAAAAUAUGACUUUCUGUGGUCAUGAUGGAUGAUAGUUUAGCAUUUGUUAUUCACAAUUUGAAUACCUAAAGAAUUAUGUUUACUUAGACUAUAGACAAAUAUUUUGAAAUAUAACAUAUAAUAUUUUCACUGUUUGAAAAAAAUUCCAAAAAUAGACAUGUUUCCAAACAUGACAAUUGUUUUAAUUUUUCUACUGGCGAUAAAGAGUUUUAAUAGUGAUAAAAAUCUCAAUAUUUUUAAAUAUAACAAAAACAUAACAAGUCUGAGUGAUCUUGAUAGGGAGAUUUCUAAUGUAAUCAACCGAGCAUGCAACAAACAAAUUAGAAACCUAUUAAUUUACAUGGAGAAUUUUACAAAAUCACUGAAGAUACACUUAAAGGGUAUAAGAGAUGAAGAUGUGGUGGCAAGGGCGAAGGCUCAGGCAAUGCUAGAUGAUGGUGGUCCCUCCUAUUUUAAUAUGAUUCCUACAUUUCAGGAUGAGACAAUAUUCCGAAACAGGAUAAACUUUUCUGAUAUAGAAUAUCAAGAGUACUUAUAUUUAGCUGCAAAAGCAAAGGAUCAGUGGGAUGACAUUGUACUCAAGUUAAAAAACAUCACAUGCUGAGGGGCUUUGCUCAUUUAAAUGGCUUUUAUUACUCAAAAAAGUAGCAAGUAAUAUUGUAUAUUUAGUUACAAAAUCUAAUAAAUAAAAACGAGAAACUUUGUACAACAUAAAAGCGAUAAAGACAAAUUAAACAUUUAAACCUUGCAGAUUGUUUUGUGUUGGAAGAAAUCAUAGAAAAAUUUUAAAGUAUGUUGUAUUAAACUAUACAAUUCAUUCAAUUUUUAAGUUGAUAGUAUUGAAAACUUACAAAUUAUAUUGUUUUGAUAUAUGGGGCUAAAGAAUUCUGUAUAUUUAAAUAUGAAAAAUGAUUUGUGCAACUUUAAAUUGAGCUAAUAAUUUAGGUUGGAUAAGGGACUGCACCCACACUCUGCAGUCCUAGCUGAGGGGAUAUCUGCUCUCAAACCAGGUCACCUUGGAGAAAGAAAAGACCAUGGGGAGCCAGACUCUUAUCAGUAAAACAAGAAAGAAGAUUGAUUAUACUUCACACAUAAGCCAGAAUAUUAGUCUUUUUUUACACUGAGGGAGUCAAUUAAAUCUAAAAGAUCUUUAUUCAUAAAUCAUCAAUCUUCAUAGGGCUUCUUGGUAAAAGUACUAUUGACUACUUGCUUCACAAAGUAUAAACCAUAUUGGACCAUUUCCUUAGGACCGAAGAAAAUUAUGAACAUAAUUUUUGCUUGGUGGAGCCUUUUUUCUACGAGUUUAUGCCUCAAUGUGCUAUUUGGAAAUUUGUGGAUUUGUUUCCAGGUUGUAACCAGAAAAACAACUUUUGUCUCCCAUGAUUAGGUUCUCCAAGAAGCUGAGAUCUUCAACGUUUGGCAGAAGGUCUUCAUGACCAGACAUGCUUUGGUGGUCUGUGAAGACCUUCAGAAUAAGUUUGGAACAAAUCUCCUGCUGAACUACCGGUACAGCCAGAGAUGAUACAACUAAUCUAGAGUAUGAAGUACAUUCUAAUAAAAACAACAGUGUUUUACUUUAUCAAUUAAUAGUGUGGAGUUGUAAAUGAUUGUUUCAAAGCUUAAAUGAAACAGAUUAUAAACCACUCUCUACAGAAAACUAGCCAACUACAAUAUGACAUUGCUUUAGAAAUGUGAAAAUGAGUGCUGGAGGAAAGGCAUAGGUAAUUUUAUAUGCUGCACUUAUUAUAUAAAGAUAUAAUAUAAAUAAAGCUAUAACUGUAACUUAGUUUUAACUGUAUUAGAUUCACAGUAAAAAUAAAGUAAAUGGGAAGAAAUUGCUUGCUGUUUUUAGAUUUAUGUGAAUAAUUCUUUCACAUCUACUGUAAAUUGUAUUACAAGUAAAAUAUGCGUAUGAAUACUUUAUGAUUAUACCAUGUUGUCACAAAAAAAUCACAAUUUACCACUAUAAAACAUUAGCCAAGCUGCAUAAUGGAAACUUAAAAAAUACAAUUUUUAUUAAAUGUAAUAACUGGGUAUGACUUAAUUAAUACGCAAAAAAAAUAUUUAUUCUUUAAGGGACAAAGAAUUUUUAAUACGAGUAGGUAACAGAAAUUAAAGUUUAAUGUUUACUUCAAAUUUGAUUUGAUUAACUGUGAAAUUAACCAUUACAGUGCCAGAUUUUUUGGAAUACUAUUAAAAAGGGCCUUGCCUAGUUUUAAAGGUUUUAUCCAAAAGUAGUGUGCCAUUUUUAGCAAUCUGUAAACAGUAAUUAAACACAUGUCAUAAUUUGUUAUGUUUUAUUCGUUAAUUUGAAUAAUUCUGUUUUGUUUGUGCAAAAAUAUGAAUAUUGACAUUUUAUGUACUCAAAACCUUCUUAAAAUAAAAAAGGAAUAAAAACCAAUAAAACCAAAAUAUUACCUUGAGUUUUUUGUUUAGAAAUUUUUAAGAUCAGCAAUUCAAAGAAAUACUAAAGAAGUCCUACACACAUUUAAAACAAGCCACACUAAAGUAACACUUUAUUUUCAACAUAGCUACCAAUUUUUAUUAAGUUAUCUCCAAAAAUAAAAAUAUUAUACAGUUUAUCCGGCCAUAUUGAUUGGUGACUGCCACUACUGCUACUGAUUGAACAAACGCCUUUGCAAUAUAUUCAUUUUUAAUGUAAACUGAUAUUAAAUAUUAUAUUUUUAUUAAAUCUCUUUCAAAAAUCCGGGAAUCUGUAUGUUUGUGUGUUGUGAAUGUUUUAAAAAUGUUAGGUUAUCUGGAAUAGGUAUUUAAAGUGUUAAAAUGUACAAAACCCAUUUUAUUCAUUAAUGUUAUGUUUACUAUAUAAGUGAAUUUUCUAAAUAAUUUGUUUGUCAAAAAUGAAAAAAACGUAUGUCGAGUGUGAACUAUUAACUCAGGUUUGUUUGGGCUCAUGUGAAGUUUUAUAUUAAGUCAUUUAAGAGUGAAGUUUAGGAACUAAAUAAUCCUUACUAUAAAAUGUUUUAUUCUUUACACUAAAAUAGACUAAUAGAAAAUAAAAAAAAAAAUAUAAAAAAAACUAAUAAGUUAAAUUUAUUAAACACAUUAUUGAAAUAAUUCCACUAAUCACUUGAUUUUUACAAACUAAUAGAAAUUAAUUUGUUAGCUUCAAGUAAAAGCUUAAACAACUUAGGUGAGAAAAUAACAAGUUUUCGAGCCUGAGUUUUAUACAUUAAACAUCUAUGUUCUGUUAAAACUUUGCAAUACCGGUAGUACAUUGUGUUAAAAUUGUUUCCAAUAUCUAUAGAUUUUUCUAGACACAUAUUAAUAAAUAGUUAACACUCUACUAUAAUUUAACAUCGUCUUCAUCAGACACUGGUCCCUCCGUAGCUACAUAAGUUCUGUAAUCCACUUUUGCCGUCAUAAACGUUUCUAAAAACAAAUCCCAUAGGUUAAAAGUCUGUGUGAAAAGUAAUUGGAACUCAUAAAGCUUUUCAUCAUUCCAAUCAAAACCCUGUUUCAAAUAUUGCUCGUCGAUAGGUUGCUGUAUACACGCUGGCCCUCGAGUGUCUAUGAAUGACCUACAGGUUUCCAGGAAGUCCGGGGUCCUCAGACGCAUUAUCUCUAUAAUGUUGAAUAGGCAAUGGUUGUACAGAUCGAUCUGGUCUAGAAUAAAUUCCGCGUUCCUUUUCUUUGGUUUCGCGAGCAGUUCGAUGAUUCUGUCAUCGACAGUUUCGAGAAACCGGAGUUUAUCUAUACUUCCACAACACAUGUGCACGGAGAGACACAAGAAAAUAACAAACACAUCACAACUCUCCAUUUAGUCAACUUUAUAAAACUAAAUUAUGCUAUUUCUGAGUUAAUUUAUAACCUUUAGUGAGUGAUAAGAUAAAAAUAGGUUUGUAGUUUCCUUGCUGCAUAUUCGUUGUUUGUUGUCAAACACCUCCCCCAGAAACUAAUCUGUAUAGUACAUAAUCUCUACAUGCAGAAUCACCAUUAUCAGAUCUCAUAUCACAGACAAUUGUGAUGGAGAUUAAAUGUUACUGAUUACUUGUCAGCAGUCCAAUUUCUCAACUCUGCGAAUUGUAAUAUUAAGUUUUUGUUUUGAUCAGCGAUCAUCAAACUAUGCUUUAUAAUAUGGAACAAACAUGUUUUUUGUUAUAUUUUCUUGUAUGGCAGAAAAAGUGAGUAGCUUAUCAGUGGAGAUUGAUUUGUUAACUUUAAGUAAAAAUUUAAACAUUUUGGACCAAAAAAUAACAAGUUUUCUCAGCAAACCGGAAUGCACGAUGAGGGAUGCUUUUCUGACGUGGUUUGAGGAAUACAAUAAACUCUUGUGUCAGCUGGUAUCAAUGCUCAACGAUGAAGAGAUACGAGCGGAACCAGUGGUUAGAAAGCUGCUGUUGGGAGGUGGUCCAACAUUUUUAAAAGUAGAUGUUGAUAAUGAACUACUAAAAGAACAUUUGUAUUGGGGAGAUAGGGAUGUUGAAGAGAUGUAUUAUUGUAUAGGUGUGACAAAGGUAUUGUGGUUUGAGAUAAAAAACGUGCUAUCUCCUUACGGAGAGAGGCAUAUAAGAAACAUUAAUGUCCCUCAUGAACUUUAUGAGCUGGAUGUGUGGGGAUGUUUGAAUGAAGAUAUACAUUUUACAAAACUUGACAUUAAAGAUCCUAGAACCAACUUUACUCUUGAAGAGUAAGCAGAAGGAAAAUCAGGAUAUUAAGAUAUUCAAGUAAAGUACCUGCACUCUCUAAGAAAUCUAUGUUUUAUAAUAUUUCAUAAUAAGUUAUGUAAACUGGAACUAAACUUAUUUUAAGGUAUUGAACUAAUAUAAUAGUAUGUUCAUAGAAGAAACUUCUGGUUAGUCGUUCUCAAAUGAAAACAAAACUUUUUAAAAUUGCAUUAUACUAUUACUGUGGAUAAAAGUGACAGAGGAUUUUUGUUUUAAAGAUUAUUAAAUAUACAGCUGUAUUUUAGGUCCUGCUCUAAUAUAUUAGUAAAUUUAAACUAAAAAUAAAAAUAAAAAAUAAAAAUAAAAAUUCAUGUAUUUUUGCACAUUAAAGCAAAAUUUACUUAUUUUAUGACUAAUUAUAAGUAAUUAGUAUUUUCUAUGAUGUAUUACUAAUAUAAUUUUAUGAAAAUGUAAUUAAAAUCAUUUAGGUGUACUAACAGAAUCUUUGCUUCUAAGUCCCCAAUAGAAAACAACAAAAUUUUUAUUGAGUAAAUACAAAGCAAGUGAUAUAAACUGAGAAUUUCUUUAAAGUGACGAUUACAGCUUAAUCAUGGUUGCAAAGGUAAAGAAAAUCAAAGUCUUAAAAUUUAAAGAAAUAUGUUAAUAACAAAAAUAUUAAGUUUAGAAGCAGAGUGAGGAACUGGCAAAUGUAGAAUGGUCAUUAUAUUACUAAAAUGGAACUUGUCUAACAAAAUGUUUCUCACCAGGCAUUGAACAGGUCAGGGCUAAAGAAUUGAUUAGAAUCAGUGCUAAAGAAUUAGAUGUAAUUGAUCCCCCUAAAAUUUCAUUGUUCUAAAACAGUAGUCCCACGAUGUAAAUAAGAACUAAUACCCUUAUAAUCAGCAUACAAGAAAAUCAUGUGAAAAUAGGUUUCCUUCAGCUCUCAAGAUAGGCAGGGUAAAAAGAGAAUAACAGAAUCCCAAAUUAGAAUUACAGAAAAGAGCACUAAUAAGACUCACGAGUCAUCUCUCACUACAUUUUACCAGGGAAAAAGAAAAAGAGGCAAACUAACAAUCUCUGUCAUUGUAAGACCAUUCAAGUUUAUUGAAGACCAAAUUGACAAAGAAAAUUUAGUCACAGCUGUAUUGCUAUACUACAACAAGGUUUUCAACUGCCUGGGACAUAAAUUGAUUUCCAAAAAAACCUUCAAGCCGCCACUGUAACAACUAUAAAAAGACUGAUUCAUAAACUAUCAGUAAAGGCAAAAGAUUGAUUUGUUCUGAAGGGAAACCAUAGUCUGUUUAGAGGUCUGUAGGUUUACAAUAAAGAAGGAGAGUAUAAAAAGUGGAUUGGAGAAUUAUUUCUGACCCUUGGACAUAAGGGUCCAGGAAGCUCGGAGAAUUCUGCUCUAAUGUACAAAUUAAUGAGUUAGAGGAGAAAAAAAUCAUGGAUUAUAGUGCUAUGGGAAAUAUGUCAUACCCUUUUAAAAAAUAAAUGUGUAAUGUGUUGUAUAA
RNAcentral lists this long non-coding RNA (8100 nucleotides) under Homalodisca vitripennis (glassy-winged sharpshooter). Its description in RNAcentral is "uncharacterized LOC124357013". Lineage: Eukaryota; Metazoa; Arthropoda; Insecta; Hemiptera; Cicadellidae. The record is from RNAcentral.